AGUGAACGCUGGCGGUAGGCCUAACACAUGCAAGUCGAACGGCAGCACAGUAAGAGCUUGCUCUUACGGGUGGCGAGUGGCGGACGGGUGAGGAAUACAUCGGAAUCUACUUUUUCGUGGGGGAUAACGUAGGGAAACUUACGCUAAUACCGCAUACGACCUACGGGUGAAAGCAGGGGAUCUUCGGACCUUGCGCGAUUGAAUGAGCCGAUGUCGGAUUAGCUAGUUGGCGGGGUAAAGGCCCACCAAGGCGACGAUCCGUAGCUGGUCUGAGAGGAUGAUCAGCCACACUGGAACUGAGACACGGUCCUGGGUCCGACGGGAGGCAGCAGUGGGGAAUAGUGGACGAUGGGCGCAAGACUGAUCCAGCCAUGCCGCGUGGGUGAAGAAGGCCUUCGGGUGGUAAAGCCCUUUUGUUGGGAAAGAAAAGCAGCAGGUUAAUACCCCGCUGUUCUGACGGUACCCAAAGAAUAAGCACCGGCUAACUUCGU
Molecule: ribosomal RNA, 491 nt
Filed under: uncultured bacterium
Lineage: Bacteria
Description: partial 16S ribosomal RNA
Rfam family: Bacterial small subunit ribosomal RNA
Source: RNAcentral